AAAUUAAUCAUUCAUCACAGCUAAAGUUCAGCAGUUGAAGCAGACAGACACCCACCCGUCUAUACCAACCCAUGUCCAGAAGUAUGAUCAUUAAUGACUCUUCAUGAGCAAAAAAGAAGACAGAAAACAGUUUGUGUCCUGACCGACACUCAGUGUUGAGCAUCAAACCACCGACCAGCUCCCCAAGUGGAUUGUGGAUCCUCCCCUACAGAUCACAAGAAGAUUUGUAAAGAUUGGGAUGCAGCUUGUAGCAGCAGACAUUCCACUUUCAGAGUCCUGAGGGGAAAGGUAAUCAGUGGAGCCGUUCCUGGUUUUCACCAACUACAAGAGACCUAAGAGCAGGAUAUCAGGAAGACAAAGGACUAAAGGGACAUCUAGGUAAGAAAAUAAAAUAUUUACCAAUGAUUUUGGGAAUUAACUUUUGAGUUAGGGAUUUUUUCUUUAGAGCCUCUGUCUCCUCAUGGGAGGGCACAAACCUACAUCACAACCAGGUGGUCACGUGACCAUGAACAGCUU
Long non-coding RNA from Melanotaenia boesemani (Boeseman's rainbowfish), 516 nucleotides. RefSeq lists it as uncharacterized. NCBI's taxonomy places the organism in Eukaryota, Metazoa, Chordata, Actinopteri, Atheriniformes, Melanotaeniidae. The record is from RefSeq and is a predicted model, not a curated record. The transcript is spliced from 3 exons.